Molecule: long non-coding RNA, 1340 nt
Organism: Oreochromis aureus
Lineage: Eukaryota; Metazoa; Chordata; Actinopteri; Cichliformes; Cichlidae
Source: Ensembl
CUCGGCUCCAACCAAUCAGACGCAACCUGUGUAAGCAAAGGAUGAUGGGAGAACGGAGAGACCCGUUUAUAAGAAUAAGAAAAGGAGGCGGAAUUGAUUGAUUCUAAUGCAGAUCAGCAUCAAUGUCCACGUGAAGAACCUAGUUAUGCUGCCAGUGUCAACCCAACAAAAGGCACUUUCACAAUAUAUAAAAGAAGUGUAUGGAACUGAGGUGCUUCCUCAGGUUGUUGGAGGAUGGAGAAGAGGACGCAGCCGUGACUUGUGAGAUGGCGUCUGAGUCAGCUACUACUCACUAGGAGAUCAGAAACAUGGUGUCCUUGCAAAAGUGGAAAGAGGCCAGGCCUUGUCUUAUAGACAAAAUGUUAUCUACUCUGGAUCCACAGUCACACCGUGUGUGUCAGUGUGGCAAACAAGUAGUUGUGAGGUGUCUGGACUGCCUGCCUCUUCCAUUCCUUUGUGCUGACUGUGAUAUUGCAGUUCACACACGCUAUGUCCUGCACAACCAAGAGGCAGUAACAGGAGGGUUUUUGCAGCCUUCAUCAGAGUUUCACAAGCCAAUAGGUACGGUUUUUAAGUCCUAUGCAUUUCUUGCUAUGUUCUAUGAGUGGGUGCUGUUAUUGUAUAUUUAUUGUGUAUCAUUCGUUAAUUUCCAAUUCUUUUUAUAUAUAUUGUGUGUUUUUAAUGUUAGUUCGGCUGUUGCCUGUGCAAAGGCCAGACCAUGUGUGUGACUGCCCAGCAGGCUGUUAUAACCUUGCACUGCCAGUGGUGAGCUGCACCAGCUGUGACUUAAUGUGGUCCCCUCAGUUAAGGACAUCCUGGGUAGUGGAUAUUGGCCUGGCACCUUAAAUUUCUGCACCCUGUUUUCAAUGGAUGCCUUUCAGUCUUUCUAUGACAUUAAGAAGGCCGCACCAGGGAUGUCAUUUAAGGCAUUUGUCAAAAUGCUGGAUGAAAGAACAGCCCAUUUUUGAAGGACUGGCGAAUAUCAGCUGAUGCCUUCAGUAAAAGCUUUGUGGAGUGGAGUGCUGUUUGAGAUGGACAGGAUGUGCAAGGAGCCAUGCGUUAGCUGCCCUGCCUGCACUCCAGACGUGCUUGCCGUCUCAGUUGAUGGAAACUGGAAGCUUUAUCGCAUUCAAUCAAAUACAAGGUGGCUCAGCUGAGGAACCUCUUGUCAAUGCGUCCAUUUCUCUCCGUCAUGCAUGCAAAGGCUCUCAUUUGGAAAUGCGAGAUCAAAUGGGGAGGUGCGUUUCAGGAUGGGGCCGGUUCUACAGUUGGAAAAGAGGGCGAACAGACAUGCUGACCCUCCUGGCUUUGGGGUGGACCAAAAGGAAAGUGGAACAACU